CAGUCGCCACGGGAAUACGAAGGGGGCUAGCGUUGCUCGGAAUUACUGGGCGUAAAGGGAGCGUAGGCGGAUCGUUUAGUCAGGGGUGAAAUCCCGGGGCUCAACCUCGGAACUGCCUUUGAUACUGGCGAUCUUGAGUAUGGGAGAGGUGUGUGGAACUCCGAGUGUAGAGGUGAAAUUCGUAGAUAUUCGGAAGAACACCAGUGGCGAAGGCGACACACUGGCCCAUUACUGACGCUGAGGCUCGAAAGCGUGGGGAGCAAACAGGAUUAGAUACCCCCGUAGUCCCUGUCUCUUAUAC
RNAcentral lists this ribosomal RNA (301 nucleotides) under uncultured bacterium. RNAcentral describes it as "partial 16S ribosomal RNA". It matches the Rfam family "Bacterial small subunit ribosomal RNA", at positions 509 to 807 of the family's 1533-position model. The record is from RNAcentral.